AGGACCCCAAAGCGCUUUACACAUUCAGUCAUCCACCCAUUCACACACACAUUCACGCACUAGUGAUGGCAAGCUACAUAUACAAAUAUCAGAUAUAUGUGACAGGCAAAAACUAGCAAAAACUUUUAGCAGUUAAAACAACUAAUAAUUGAAUGCAGAUCUGCAUUCAAUUAUUAGUUGAUGGUUAGUGAUGGUGUAACAUUCGAAUGUUACACCAUCACUUAUGGAUAUAUUAGUGUUUCGCCACACACUGCUUAAGCCAUUAAUCUUUCUGGAAUUGUUCUUUGAAACAGAUGCGACCGCACAAAAGUUUUUAACAAUGCUGUCAAACCUGACGAGAUCUGUCAACGAACUGCGUGAGGAGGUCAGAGCCAUCCGCAAUACCGGCUCAAAUGAAUCUGUAGAUGCUGGGGUACUCCCUUUGGAUUUGCCCUUAAACAGCAUUGAGGAGCUAAACCAUGCAGAGGCAGCUCUUACGUCGCAAGAGGCAAUUAAGGCAAUGGUGAGACGCUUUGCCUUGAUUGGAGGGACCACACUUGAGGUGCGAGUCCGCCGUGUAAUGGCUUAUGCCAUUACAAAUGAGCUGGCCUCACUACUAAACUGGGCAGGGAAAAAAACAAAGGACCACACGAAGCAAAAAAGGGCAUUUAAAGAUACUGCGCUGUGCAGAUGCAUAUUUGAUGGCCUGACGCAGCAGUUAGGGGCAAACUCGAUGUCAGAGUUUCUCUUUGCACAGGCAGUGCAGAAGUGGCUACGGUACGCCCCAGACCGUUUGGGUGGUGCAGGACGCACAUCAUCCGUCCCCAUCCCGGAGGAGCAGUAA
RNAcentral lists this long non-coding RNA (823 nucleotides) under Oreochromis niloticus (Nile tilapia). Its description in RNAcentral is "lncRNA (ENSONIG00000022750.2)". Lineage: Eukaryota; Metazoa; Chordata; Actinopteri; Cichliformes; Cichlidae. The record is from RNAcentral.